RNAcentral lists this microRNA precursor (161 nucleotides) under Hevea brasiliensis (rubber tree). RNAcentral describes it as "miR6171 stem-loop (hbr-MIR6171)". Lineage: Eukaryota; Viridiplantae; Streptophyta; Magnoliopsida; Malpighiales; Euphorbiaceae. The record is from miRBase by way of RNAcentral.
AGGGGUGUAUGGCAUAUUAGCUUUGAGCUAUCUCGAUAUGCCUUUCUAUCUAAAACCAUUCUUUCUCUAUUUUUCUCAAUUUCCAGAAGAUUGGGAGAUUCACAAGAGGGUAUUGAUUCGGAUGUGGAUUGCUGAAGGCUUUGUGCCACGCGUGGAAAGAG